UGGGGAAUUUUCCGCAAUGGGCGAAAGCCUGACGGAGCAAUACUGCGUGAGGGAGGAAGGCUUUUGGGUUGUAAACCUCUUUUCUCAGGGAAGAAGCUCUGACGGUACCUGAGGAAUCAGCCUCGGCUAACUCCGUGCCAGCAGCCCCGGAAAUACGGAGGAGGCAAGCGUUAUCCGGAAUCAUUGGGCGUAAAGCGUUCGCAGGCGGCGAUUCAAGUCUGCUGUCAAAGCCCGCAGCUCAACUGCGGACAGGCAGUGGAAACUGUAUCGCUAGAGUGCGGCAGGGGUAGAGGGAAUGCCCGGUGUAGCGGUGAAAUGCGUAGAUAUCGGGAAGAACACCAGUGGCGAAAGCGCUCUACUGGGCCGCAACUGACGCUCAGGGACGAAAGCUAGGGGAGCGAAAGGGAUUAGAUACCCCCGUAGUCC
Molecule: ribosomal RNA, 426 nt
Filed under: uncultured prokaryote
Description: bacterial SSU rRNA
Rfam family: Bacterial small subunit ribosomal RNA
Source: RNAcentral